GACGAACGCUGGCGGCGUGCUUAACACAUGCAAGUCGAGCGGUAAGGCCCUUCGGGUACACGAGCGGCGAACGGGUGAGUAACACGUGGGUGACCUGCCUCUAGCUCUGGGAUAAGCCUGGGAAACUGGGUCUAAUACCGGAUAUGACUCCACGGCGCAUGUUGUGGGGUGGAAAGCCUUGUGCGGCUAGAGAUGGGCCCGCGGCCUAUCAGCUUGUUGGUGGGGUGAUGGCCUACCAAGGCGACGACGGGUAGCCGGCCUGAGAGGGCGACCGGCCACACUGGGACUGAGACACGGCCCAGACUCCUACGGGAGGCAGCAGUGGGGAAUCUUGCGCAAUGGGCGAAAGCCUGACGCAGCGACGCCGCGUGAGGGAUGACGGCCU
RNAcentral lists this ribosomal RNA (385 nucleotides) under uncultured bacterium. RNAcentral describes it as "bacterial SSU rRNA". It matches the Rfam family "Bacterial small subunit ribosomal RNA", at positions 28 to 417 of the family's 1533-position model. The record is from RNAcentral.